RNAcentral lists this non-coding RNA (21 nucleotides) under Arabidopsis thaliana (thale cress). Lineage: Eukaryota; Viridiplantae; Streptophyta; Magnoliopsida; Brassicales; Brassicaceae. The record is from RNAcentral.
UCCUAAGCAGCAAUUUCAGGG